Molecule: unclassified non-coding RNA, 603 nt
Filed under: Hevea brasiliensis (rubber tree)
Lineage: Eukaryota; Viridiplantae; Streptophyta; Magnoliopsida; Malpighiales; Euphorbiaceae
Source: RNAcentral
GAAAGCAUUCUAUGAGAAAAGAAAGCUCAAUAUUGAGACCAAUAAGACUAACAACCGAGACAAAGAGAAUGUGUAUGUAACUAAUCAAGAAAAGUUCCACAAAGAAGCUGACAAACAGUAUUGGAAAGCCAUAGCGGAGCUCAUUCCUAAUGAGGUUCCGAAUAUUGAGAAGAAAGGAAGGAAGAAGGAUCAAGAGAAGAAGCCGUCCGUCACAGUCCUCCAAGGUCCCAAACCUGGAAAACCAACCGAUCUUUCAAGGAUGCGUCACAUCUUGGUGAAGCUUAAGCACAACCCACCACCUCAUAUGCUGCCCCCACCACCCGCACCUGCCAAAGAUGACAAAGCUGGGAAGGAUGGGAAAGAUGCUAAGAACACUAAAGAUGCAGCACCUGCUACCGGAGACAGCGUACCUGCUAGUGAAUCCACUGUUGCUCAGGCAAUUUCUCAGACAUUAGAACCUGCUGCUACUGCAGAGGUCUCUUUAUUCUCUUGAGGGACAAGAAAACAUCCAUUUUGGGUACUCCGUAUUGUAUGCCUUGCUAACAUUUCAUUGAUUCGGUGAAUGCAGCUGCAUUUUGUUAUUCUAAAACAUCAAGAUCUUUU